This 40803-nucleotide long non-coding RNA is filed under the name Brassica napus (rape). RNAcentral's name for it is "long non-coding RNA (BNAP_LNC007401)". Lineage: Eukaryota; Viridiplantae; Streptophyta; Magnoliopsida; Brassicales; Brassicaceae. The record is from RNAcentral.
GCGGUUUGAAGAUAAACGGUUCACCUGCACCUAACAGUUAUAAAAAUAUAUAGAUAUAUAGUAUAUGUAGAGAUUUUUGUUAUUGUUAACUGCAGGGCGGGCGGUACGAUGAUCACCAUUCAAAGUCUUAAUUAGAAUCAAUAUAACAAAAUCAUGAUACGAGCGAUUAGAUUCAACUAAAUCGAGAUCGAGAUUUACAAUAAAUCGAACAAUUGACCAGGUCAAGGUGUGAAUCAGCUCAAUGCAGAAGCGAAACUGAGCUAACCGCAGAUGUUUCUUUGAUUUUUUGCAUUAGUCUCUCUAUGCUAUUAGGAAACACUAUGUAAAGGUCUUUUUUUUUUGAGUUUAAAUUUAACAUUUUAAUUCAAAAAAAAAAAAAAAACGGCAUGCGGCGACGAAGAUCUCGUAGGAAAUGAGGCGGAGGUCGGAUUCGGAGAACUGGACGGCGAGUUGUCCGAGUGGAGACGGUGGUAGAUCGGAGGGAAUCGUGGAUGCCAUCGACGGUGGCGGCGGCGUCGUCUCUCGCUUGGAGUGACCCAGAGACAGCUCUCUGAAGAGGUGAGCCAUUUUUUUGUUUGCGUGUGGAGAGCAGCGAAAAGGAACAAUAAUACAGCUUCUAAUAACAGUUGCCCCCAGAAAAAAAAGAAGAAAUGGCACUAUUGUAAUUAUUUUUUAACUAUUGAUUUUUCGUCUUAUUAUAUUAAUGAAAUUUCAUUGCGUUAGUUGGUCAAAGUUAAAACUUUUUUUUUUGGUAUAAUUGACCAAAAACUUGACCUUUAAAUUUCCUUAUAAAUUGAAGUGCUUGAGCUGUAAACAUAUCUUCAUUAAUCUCUACCUAAUUGUAUAUUCAUGAAUACCAGCUAUGUUUGUAUAAUUGGUUGUACAUUAACCGAAAUUGUCUUACACAUGAUCAUACUUUUGUUUAAUAACACAAGUUGUUUGUAUAAUCGUUUAUAGCAUCAGUAAAAAAUAACUAAAAGAAGUAAAAAUGAAUAAUAGAAUGGUCGAGUGGUAAAGAGGACUUAGAAAUGUGAUAAGUACUCCAUGUUUAAAAACUACCAUCUCAGAUUUAUCUGUUUGUAUGAUUAGACGUAAUUUUCAUUACAAACAGCUAAACUGGUGUUGAUAGGCAAAUUUUUAAACAUUAGUCGGUUAAGAAUCGCUAUUACAGAUAUCCCAGAUUAUGAAAAAACUGAAUAAUAGACAUAAUUGUAAGUUGUAACCAUUUUCGUAAUUGAUGAAAGAUGACGUAAUUUGUAGGUGUAGGAAGAAAAAAUUACCACUGAUAAUGUUUUGGUUAAUUCAGAAAAGUAAAAAAAAAACAACAAUGAGAAACAAGUAAACAGAUUCCAUUAUGGUAAAGAAAAGAAGCAUACAUAAUUGAAGGAUUAAAAUAAAAAGAAUAAAAAGUGUGGAAAUGGGAGCUGGAGCAUGAGAUGCGAACAGCUUGGAGACGGUCUCACGCUCAUGUCUCAUGAUCCUUCUUUUGUGGGCGAACUGGACCACGUAAUAUGCAUAUUUUAAGUUUCUUCUUUUUCUUUAAGUAAAUUAUAAUUCACAAUUUCACACCACCAGUUGAUUGUUUCAAACAAUUUUGCAGUUCGAAGUCUGGAUAUAAGUUUAGGGAGAUAGUUACGGUAUUUGGGUGAUUACUUUGGUUAUAGUGUUGGACAUAUAUUUGUUACAAAUAACCUAUCAAAACUAGACCUAUAAUAUCAAGUUUGAAAGUAAAGUCAACUUGAUUUAUAUUGUGAUUAAAUAUACAUGGUGAUUUAAUUUACCGUGAAUAGUAAUCCAGGUUCACUAGCAUGUGGGUUUGUUUUGUUUUUUUUAACGCUGUGUAUUAUUAAGCCACAUGGACAAAAAAUUUUAAAACACAAGAUCAUACCAGUAGGUAUAUCAUAAGAGAGGAUAAAUAGAAAAUAUCAGAGGUUAUCCUACUCAAAAGAACACAAAGGCAAUACACGAAGACAGUACUCUUCUGAUGGCGUGCACUCGGAGAUGAGGUUGGAAGAGAGGCUAGUGUUUCCUCAUACAUCAAUGAUUGUAAUUUACACCAUCUGCGAUGGAAACUCGCCAUAUGAAAUCAAGGUUCUGGAAGGAUGAAAUGCUAAAACCAUGAGCUCAAACCCUCCAAACAUUUGGGCUCUUCUUUUAUCCACAUUAGUGGCUUGAAAAGAACUCAGUUUUUUGGAAGUCUGGCUCCAUGAAAUCAAUCCCACCAGUUCUGACAGUCGCAACAAAUUUCAGUAAAGCAAGACCACUGAAACGCCUAAGAGUGAGAGGCGAGACAUAGUAAAGAACACUCGAUAGAUCACUAGAUAACUGAACACCCUACCAAAGAUGCAUGACCGUCUCAAAUUGAGACGAUUCUUUGAUAGCCCGAGGCCAUUGCAGACCUCCAUCAACAACAAACGAUUGAAACCAUUUUCACUUCAAGACCACCUCAAAUAGAAACAGAACCAUUUGCACGACUAAAGAUAACAAACAGAGAAACUGAAGAAGAGAACAAUCCUUAAACUCCAAAAGCAUAUGCCGCUCCAUGCCGUCAAAUACGGCAAGACACAACCAAAACCAGGUGAAGCUCCGAUGUGAUACGACAAACCAAACACCGCCAAGAAACUAAGAGAUCAAAUCUGGAUAUAUGAUAUCAAGAGUACAAGCGGGAUACCCGCACCAUUGAUCGAACAAAUACGGAGCCUCCAUCAUUAUAGCAGAGAAGAUCAUGGCCCAGGCAAGAAUAUUAAGCAUCAAACGCUCCAACUCCACAACAGCCUUUUGAGUAGCUAUAGAACAUAAGAUUCUCCAGCGACCUCCGUUACAGAGAUAGAAAAAUAACACAUAACCUUGCUGUUGAAAAACACCACCCCUAACACCAGAGAACGCUAAGACACUACAAUAUCACUAGAUCCAUAUAUGUUGAUUGAAAAGCGUGAAAGAUGUCAAACAAAGGUAAAUGAUAGCGAAGGGAGCCUCUCCUGGCGAUGGCGAGGAGCGCCGAACGCUAGAGAAGCGAGGAUCUGGCCAAGGAAGACGACGGCGGCUGAUGAAAUUAUUUUCAGUUAAUAAUGUCUUUAUUUAACUUAGUAUCGUGGGUUUGUUUGAAUAGAUAGAUAAAUUUUUUUUGGAAUGAAUAUUAAAUUUGUAUUCAUCAAAAAACAUUUCUCAUCAAGUUUGUGCUUAAGCAAAUCAUUUUUCAAAAAGCUGCUUGGUCUCUAAAGAAGAUAAGAACCACCUAAUUAUCAAGAAACUAUUUUAAGGUCAGGGAGAAGAAAAUGUGUAAGUUUGAAAAAAGAAUGAGAGAAAUGAACUCCAAGGUGGAUGCAAUAUAAAGGUAUUUAAGCAAAAAACGAUGAACUAUUGCAUCUCAUGUGAAAGUUAUGGACACUCAACUAGCUCAAGUAAUAGCCGACACUAAAGGAGUGGCAAUGAAAAAAGAGGCCUAGUAAUAAAUAUAGCAAUCCAAGACUCUGAGAUCAAAAGCUUCAUGUCCACAUAAAUAAUCAUAUACGAGUUUGAAAGUUUAAAUUACUGCUCAUAAGAAGAUUUAGGUGACUAGAGCUGUGAGUGAGAAUAGUUCAGUACACUUACCUUUGGACAAGUGAUUUUGAUGAGGAAGAGAAGGAUUUGGUUGAGAAAAUUUUGGAUUUGGCCAAGCAAAAAGACAAUAUGGUCGACAAAUUCUAUCACUCUGUCCGACCAUGAACCCACGGUCAAGAACCAGGCCGAGUGCAUGGCUGGAGACAAAUCCAUAUGGACCAAUCCAAAGAAAACAAUGUGAAAUGUCAAGGAAAGCCUAAGCAUUCUAAGGAUGCUUCACGUUCAUUUGGUGGCGAUAGUAAAUAAAGAAAGUACAUAAUUAGAUGAGUUCAAAGGAUGCUUCCUAAUCUUAAACAAACACUUAGAAAUGAAUUGCUAAGUUGAAAAUGUUAAGGAACUUAAAUGAGAAAAGUACAGGGUUAGGCGAGACUGAUUAAUAAAGCACAAUUUUAUGUGAAUAGAAAUGUACAAGGAAAAAAGACUUAUGUGUAUUUUCUUUCUUGGGCUGUUUUUUAGCAACUUGGCUUAUCGCUUCUCUCAUAGUUUAAGAAUCGUUUUCUGACGAUCUAGAUUUUGUUCAACUGAAUUCAAUACUUUCUUAUAAUCGUCAAUUUGUCUUGGUAUUUCAAAUAACCUAGUAUCAAAUUUUCAUCUAUAAAAAUCGGCCAAAUUCAGAUCAACAAUGUUCUAUUCAGUUAUUUUAGCCAACUCAAGUCCAAACUGAACCAUCUAAGAAUGGUCAGUUUGGGUCGGUUCCUUUGGUUCUAGUUUAGUCGUUUUCAUGCUCAUGUCUAGUGGCGAGACCUUCCUCUAACAUACUUGUCCCAAUAUUUUCGGUAAUACUGAAAGAAUACAACAAAUAAGAAAAUGGUACAAUCUGUACCACCCUUUAAGGACACCAAUCAGAGCACUGUAAUGUGUAGCAUGACUCGAACUGUAACCUAAUUUCCAAAAACGAUAUGUUAAAGAAAGUAAUACAUCGCACAUCUCACUAAAGAACAUCAUACAAGUCAACUUUCGACUCAUAUCAAUCAUUCAUCAUACAAUAAUUGUGUCCAUGUGCUCCCUUAGCAUUUUCUUCUCAGUUCUCGCUUUAUUUUGUUUGACCAAAACGAACUCAUUAAAAGCCGCUCCGAUGUAUUAACGCUCAACAUCAACCAGAACCAUCCAAGAAUAUUUCUCUGGUUUAGAUUUAUUUCAAAACCAUGAAGAAGAUCGACUUGGGGAACCACCGCGAGGCGGCUCAGCCAGACUGCAUCAAAGCUCUCAUUGUCGAAUUCAUCACCACAUUUUUCUUUGUUUUCGCCGGCGUCGGAUCCGCCAUGGCCACAGGUAAAUUAUUUUACAACACAUUAUAUUCAUGUUCUUUGUUACAAUUUGGUCAUACCAAGUUAGUUACUGGCUAUGUACACGCAAAUCUAAUCCAAGUCAAUUUACAUUGGUAUUUUUAAUCAUUCUGCUUCUCAAAUCUAUGGCUUAUGUUGUUUAUAUUUUAUUCAUGGUAUAGACAGCUUAGUCGGAAACACAUUGGUCGGACUUUUGGCGGUCGCGGUGGCUCAUGCCCUUGUAGUGGCGGUCAUGAUAUCUGCGGGCCAUAUCUCCGGUGGCCACCUCAACCCCGCUGUCACCAUCGGCCUACUUUUCGGAGGUCACAUCAGUGUCUUCCGCGCAUUCCUCUAUUGGAUCGAUCAGCUGUUGGCCUCCUCCGCAGCCUGCUUCCUCCUAAGUUACCUCACUGGAGGAAUGGUACGUUUAAUAUCACCAAAAUUAAUAAAACGUUAAUUAAUAUAGUUUAACACGUAUUAUUAGCAUACAUGCUAAUACAAAUACAAAUUAUAACCCAAUAAUUCAUAUUUCACAUGGUUUUAUUCUUUAGUAUUUUAAUCUGACACUAGAUUUUGACCCGCGCAACCGCGCGGGUGUUUGUUUUUACUUUUUUUUAUACAUAAAUUAUUAUUUUUAAACAUUAGUGGUAUAUUUUUUAAACAUUAAUCAUAUACUUAAAUGUUUAUAUAACUAUUUCAAAUAUAAUAAUUUUAUAAUUUACAUGUUAUAAUUAAUCAUUUGGUUAAAACCGUAUGUAUUUUCACUUCUUAUUAUAUAUUUAUCAUUAUUGUAUAUACAUAAGUCUAAGAUAUGUUAAUUUUUAGACAUGUAUUAUAAAAUUUGUUAAUUUUAAGCCGUUCUAUCAUCAUAUUAUAUUUUUAAAAUAAAUAAUUUAUAUUUAUGAAAAUAAAAUUUAUAAAUUUAUCAAUUGAAUAUACUUUUAACAUGAGACUAUAAAGUGGAUAAAUAGGAUAUAAUUUAUUUAUUUUUCAUUUUAUAAACGAUAACUUAAAAUACAUUAAAUUAUUGUUAAAAUACUUUUACACAGAUUUAUUAGAAUUUAAAAUGAAAAUAUAUUAUGAUUAAAGUAGUUACAAAGAUUUUAUAUUAUAGCAUUUAAUAAAAAUUUUAAGUGAUGGUCCAAAUUAAAAAAAAAAAUCACACAUGAAAGAAGUCAUGACUUCUCUUUUAAUAUAUAAGAUUAGAAACCAAAAUAUUAAAAACUAAUAUGUUCUAUAAGUAUAUUUUUAAAAUACUUUUAACAAUCUCAAUUCAAGUUAAAUGUAUAAAAUAAAAUACACAAUUUAAACACAUGAUGCUAUGUAAAUCAUACGUGAUAAAACGUUUUUUAAAAGAUUAUGCAUUUUACCUAGUUUGACAUUAUUACGUUUUGUGAUUAGGGAACUCCGGUUCACACUUUGGCAAGUGGAAUCAGUUACACCCAGGGUAUCAUAUGGGAGAUCAUCUUAACAUUCUCACUUCUCUUCACUGUCUACGCCACGAUGGUGGAUCCCAAGAAAGGCUCCCUUGAUGGGCUAGGCCCACUUCUCACCGGAUUCGUCGUCGGAGCCAACAUCCUUGCCGGUGGCGCCUUCUCUGGAGCCUCAAUGAACCCGGCCAGAUCAUUUGGACCUGCUUUGGUCUCUGGGAACUGGACUGACCAUUGGGUAUAUUGGGUUGGACCGUUGAUCGGUGGUGGACUUGCAGGAUUCAUCUACGAGAACGUCCUCAUUGACCGUUCAGAUGCCCCACUCGCCGACGACGAGCAACCAUUCCUAAAUUGAAUGCUUGAAUCUAUACUAUGCACGUUACAUAUCUAUCAAGCUCAUCACUAAUGAUGCAUCUUCUUGGUACACUUCAAGAUGUAUCUCUUGUACUCCUAUCGUAUUUCAAGCAAUUUCUUUAAAUUUAUCAAGUUCCAGUUAUCAAAAGUAUAAAACAUUAUAGAAUAUCAAAACAAGAUUCACCAAAAGCCAUUGCAAGAACAGCGACCGUCUUUGAAAUGGUGGAACCUGUUUCUGUCUCUCACAAUGAUCUCUCUGCCAAAAAUCUUGGAGAUCAUCAUAGAAACCUGAUGACAAUCACCACAAACUCGAAGGUUCUUCACGAUCCUAAUAGGGACAUCUUCUUUCAAACUCAUUAUACCAAACGCAAUCGCUGCCUUUUCGCUAUGCAGACACAAAGCAUCCUCUUUCUCCUCUUCAUCUAUGUCAAACAUAACCGGGCUCGUGUCUGCUUUAUACCCAGCAAGUCUCAGCCUCCUCGAGAUCUCCUUCCAAAACGACUCGAUCUCUGUAUACCUCGGGUGCGAUUUAUCUCCGACAAAGAACUCAUGGACUUCUCCGUUGACCUCCAUUACACUGCACCCUGGUUCCUUUCUAACUCCUCUAGAUUUCAUCGACUGUCUAACAUGACUAACGUUCUCCCAAUUGUCUGACUCUGCAUAGAUGUUUGAUAACAUGACAUAAGCCCCGUGAUUCGUCGUCUCUAGCUCGAGCAUUUUUUUAGAUGCAAGGACACCAAGUUCGAGAUUCUUGUACAUUCUAGAUGCGUGGAGCACAGAGCUCCAUACAGCAGCGUGAGGCUUCAUUGGCAUACGCUGGAUGAUCCCGACUGCUUCUUCUAAGUGACCUGCACGAGCAUACAAAUCAACUAAGCAGCCGUAGUGAUCAAGCUGAGGCUCAAUCCCAAACUCAUCCCUCAUCGAAUCAAAAUGUCUCUGCCCUUCAUCUACCAAACCAACCACACUGCAACCUCUUAGAACCGAGACGAACGUGACAGCGUUUGGAGUAACACCAUCUCGUUUCAUAAGAGAGAAAAGCUCGAGACAUUUCUCUCCGAACCCAUUCAUGGCAAACCCGUUCAGGGCGCUGCUCCACGUGUACACAUUCUUCUCUUCCAAGCCCCAGAACACUUCCAUAGCUCUGUUCAUGUCGCCGCAUUUUGCGUACAAGUCGACCAACGUUGUCCCAAGCCUCACAGUGAUUUUGAUUUUGUUUCUCUCUAUGUAAGAAUGAGCCCACCUCCCUUGGUCCAAAGCUCCCAACUGAGUACAAGCGGAUAAAACGGAGAUCAUAGAAACCGCGUUCACUUUCACACCUUCCAGCUGCAUCAGAUGAAACAAGUCCAGAGCUUCCCUCGAUUCUCCGACCUGAGCAUAGCCAGAGAUCAUAGCGUUCCAUGCAAUGGGGUCUUUCUCCGGCAUCUCCUCAAACAACUUCCUCGCGAAACCAACAUCCCCGCAUCUCGCACAGGCCGUGACCAUCGCCGUCCGACACACGAAGUCCGGACAAGGAACCGAGUCAAACACCUUGUGGCAAGAAUCCGGACACCCUAGCUCAGCGUACAAAGAGAUCAACCCGGUUUGGACAUGCGGGUCAUUGUCAAAACCGCGUCUUAUGGUCGUACCGUGAACUUGAAGCCCUGUCUCACGCAUACCCAUCCCGGUACAGGCCUGAACCAAGAAGUUGACAGUGUAAUUAUCCGGUUUAAGAUCGGAAUGAAGUAUCUUUCUGUAAAAAUCGAAGCUUUUCUCUGGAACAGGGCUUUUACAAUGUGCUCUGAUCAUAGAGUUGAGAGCAAACAAUGUAGGCUUAUCAGACCUAUCCAGGAUCUGAUUCGCGUAGUCUAAGUGUUUCUGAUCGCUCAAAGCCACUGCCUUUACGAACUGACCCACGAGAUGGUCAUCGUUGAGCGUCCCGUCGACCAAGAGCUUGGCGUGGAUUUGCCUCACUUCCUUAAACGGAGUGCCGGAAUCCAAAAGAGCGAUAACUGGAUGUUUCACGAUUCUGCUCAUGACUAUAACAACAACAUCCUAUGCAACCUGCAGGGAAGAAGGUACCGAGGAAGAACAUUGUCAAGUAAUGGUAAGAGAUUGUGUUUAAAGUUCAGUUGGGCAUUUUAUCGAACAUCUGGUGUGCGACUCUCGAAAAUUUACAACUGCUAAAAAAGUCAUGAAAAUGCGGAAGAUUAUAAGGAGAGGAUUAUAACCUGACUCGGCGGCCUGCAAACUCUGCGCCGGUAAGAUCUUUACGGCAGCAAAAUUUUCCCAGGAGAGAGAGAGAAGAAGAAGCGUAUCGAUGAGUUUAGACACUAAACCAGUGUUUGGGUUAUGUUGCAAUUGUGAUGCAGAACCGAUCCAAAACCAACUUGAAAAAAUAGUUUUUGAUUCCGAAUAAGUUGAACUAAAAUUGUUGACAAAAACAAAAAAAAUGGAACUUUAAAGGGGUUAGCGGGAAUUGUAUUCACGUGCGGUUUUGAUUUUUAUAAUCUAGAAAUUUGCUGAAUUUGUAAAGAUAAAAAAUUCACACUGAAAAUAUUCUAUUGUAAUGAUUUUAAAAAUCUCUAGAGAAUAUGUGCAAUAUUUUGAAAUUUUAGUUUUAUGAAUAACAUUGUUUAGGAUUCAAUGACGCUAAAUUUUAAUAGAAUCACUAAAAUUUACACAGAGGCUAAUUUCAAUAUUUCAUAUCGAUCGUCAAAUCUCCUCUAUACAUGAAUGUUUUCUUUCCGCAGAUUUACACAGAUGCUAAUUUCAAUAUUUCAUAUCGUCAAAACAGUAAAUCAAAGUUCAUCCGAAAUUUACAGCGUAUAAAUAAUUAUAUAACUCGAAAUCAAUACCCCCACAUUACCUCUCUUAUGCGAGCCCACACAGACACAUGCUAACUAUAUAGUAUUUGAAGUAAUUGAAAACAAGAAACAUAACAAAAAUGAGUCGUUCAUAUCAUCACAGUUCAAACAACCGACACUCACUAUUGUCCCUGGCUUUCAACUAAUUCUUAUUGUACACUUUGGUACACAAUUCGUACAACAUUCUCACAUCAAAACCAAGAGAACAUGGUGGCUUCUAAUGGUGAGGACACCGAACGUUCCUCCACCAAAAAGAAAAAGGAGACCUCCGCAGUGGUAUAUCGCGGGGCACGCAUGAGAAGCUGGGGCAAAUGGGUGUCGGAGAUUCGAGAGCCUCGUAAGAAAUCAAGAAUCUGGCUCGGGACUUUCCCCACGGCGGAGAUGGCAGCUCGUGCGCACGAUGUUGCGGCGCUGAGUAUCAAAGGAAGCUCAGCAAUCCUUAACUUUCCAGAGCUCACUAACUCUCUGCCACGACCUGUCUCGCUCAGCCCAGCCGACAUCCAGGCCGCAGCAACAAAGGCCGCAUUUAUGGAAUUCAAAACACCAUCGCUUCAUCUCGAGGAUGAAACGCCAUCUCAAACUAGAUGUGAGACUGAGACGAGCGACAAGGCGUCGUCCUCACCCACUACGUCUACGCUCUCAGAGGAGCUAGGAGAAAUAGUGGAGUUGCCGACUCUAGACAAUGAGUUAAGUAAAGAUUUUGCGUUGUUCGACUCGUUGGAAGUAUUGGUCGGGAUGCCUCCAUGGCUAGAUGCUACCGAAAAAGAUCCAGUACUGUUUGACCAACUUUUCCAAGAAAGCUUGUUGUGGAAUCAUUAGUAAGAUUUUCUUGGAAAAGAAAUUUAUAUUUUGAUUCCUUCUCUCAAUAGUUUCAUAUGCGUACUUUAUCUCCAAGUACAACCUUAGAUUAGUAAAUACUUCCGCUAACGGAAUUAUAUAAAGUGUAAACAACACAAGCUUUCCUUGUUUCUUUUUUUUUUUAUCUUGCAUUCGAUUGUUCACAUAUAGUUAAACUUUGUGUUAUUAAUAUUUUUGGGUGGUUUAGUCAUUUAAAUGUAAUGAGUAUGUAGUAGUGGUUUACUGAAAGCAAGUGUUAAGUUAUUUAUAUCGCAGUGUUUCAAAAAAAAGUUAUUUAUAUUGCUUGUACGUGCUAGUAGAUAAAGAUCAAUACACCUAAGGUAAAUGAAAGAUUAAAAAUAAAUCAGAAGAGUACAAGCUCGACAAUACAUUAAUUGUUUUACAUUGGUAUUCCCAUGGUCGACAUUUGAAGUUAACUAACGCAAAAGUUGGUAACAAUAUAAAUCAGCUUAAGGUAUCUCAGAUAUGUUUUCACUCUUUUUUCUCCGACUACAUUUGGGUACAAAUCAAAUCAUGUGGGUUUUGUCUGAGUUCAGCGUUCAAAAAUUAUUGGAAAACACCAAAUUAGUAUUCCAAAACCAUCACGUGUAUGUUCGUCAUUAAAUAAAAAAUGACCUCUAAAAAAGCAACCCGAUCGAAGAGAUUCCCACUCUGUCAAAACUGAUUUUGCUAUGACUUAUAGAAAACCAUCUAACCGAAAUUUUAGGGAUCUUAUUGAACAGUAUUUUCCUAUUUGGGUUUUAUUAGUGGGUUACAAAAUUUGUAAAAGGCAACGUCACGUAUGCAUGAAUCAAACUGAUCAUUCGUGUGCAUUACUGUUGGUAUAUUCUUUUCUUCCUUUUUUUGUCUAACUAUUUUUUUGUCUAACUAUUAUUUUGCUUUUUCUAAGUUUGGAAAGAAAAUAAAGACAAAGACUUUACAUAGACGCAUUUGAAAUUUUGAUUGGUCGGAUUAUCUCACUCAGGAGCGUGUCCCCUGCUACACACAAUUCUCUUUCAUGUCAUUUUCAAUCCUCGCUUAAUUUUCUUUUCAAAUUAUGAUACAGUAUCUGAAUGUAGUUUAUAAUUUAGAUGCCUAAAUUAAUAAGUCGCGACCAAUUGCUUGAACCACGCAGCGUUAAUGAGAUCGCGAACGGUAUUACAAACUCUUAUAAAUUUCACAUAAAAGUAUAUUAUGAGUCAUCCUAUUGCUUUGUUUCAGUUAGAAGAAUCUUAUAUUUAUUUCUUAUACUUGUUCAUUUAUAAAGCUUAUAAAUGUUCAUUGUUUGAGCUUAUCCUGCAUAGUUUGGAUCGACAAAUUUACUUCAUGUAUACAAAUUUAAUGCCGUGUUUCACCUCAAAAACUAGCUACCUCGCCUACAUCGUUAUUAUUUUGUUUCUUAUCGACGGCUUCCAUAACCUCAUUUAGCCAAUCAAAUUUUAGUAGAGAUGAACAAAUUUGUGUGAGACGGUAUAUUUGGGUUAGGUUCGAUAGAGAAGCGUACAAAACUGAAGUCAAUUGCUAUUUAGAAUAUAUAUAUAAAAAAGAUUUAUUGUUCAAAUGAAGUCGUCGGGAAAAUAUAUAGAUGUUUAAUUAGUUUUAUAUGGGACAGAUUUUUCUUUUGGAUCUCGCGUCAAAGAAAAGAAGACGAAGAAAUUUGGUAUUCAACAUAUUUUUAAUCAUGUGCACAUUCAUUUAUUCUUAUAAGGCUGUAUAUUUUAAAAAUAUACACCUUUUAUUUGUAUUUGUUAAUAAGGCUGUAUAGUGUUUAAUUUAUCCUACCUAGUAUAUUAAAUUGCUUAUAAAUAACGUCACUAAAAUCAAAUUUGUAUAUCAAGUUUUUUUUUUGAAACAAUAUCAAGUUUUUUUAGUUUUAGUUAGAUACCUAAUAAUUAUUUUUGUUUACUAGGUUUUUGGGCGAGUUGAUACAGUAGUUGCAAUGAUUUAUGUUCUAUGUCAAAACUCUUGACAAACAAUAGUAAAUGACUAAAUCGUAUAUAUAUAUAAAUAUUGAGCGUUCAAAAUGCCUAUAACAAGUUGGAAUUUUUGCAAAAUUGACCUAUAACUUAAAGUCAAACACAAAACUAACCUCCUUUUUUUUUGAAAAUUGGUUUUGCCCUAUUCACCCCACAAGUUCAUAUAAUUUACGAAAAUGCCAUCCAUUUUUUUUUUAUUUUUUUUUUCGAAAAUGACAUUUUUACUCUCUCACCCUCAUCAUCUUCAAGUAAUUACAAGAUUGCCAUUGUCAUCAAUACCACAACCACCAUGAACAACCAAUUUGAAGCUCUUAAUGCUCCUAAAAUCGAUUUACCCUUCUUCUUUUUCCAUUCUUGUGACCUAAACACAACAUAUCUCUCACUUUCUCUCCACAAUGAGCUAAAAAAACCCAAGAUUUUGAUUCUAAAAUUUUUAUGGUUCAUAGAGUCAUAGAAGCUAACGAUUAUGGGUGGGUGACUUCCGUUUGUGAUUCUGUGUGCUUGGAGAAGCCUUAUGUAUGCUAAGGAACUUAUCUCACUAAUUUAAGGUAUGACAUCGAGUUUUUUUCCAGAUCUGUUCGUCAGACGACUUACUUGGGAAGUCGUCUGGCUGUAGACGACUUACCUUUCAGUCGUCUGGCUGUAGACGACUUACCUGGAAGUCGUCUGGUCAACGCAGAGGUUAUUUUUGCAAUUGACUUUGAAAUCUGUAACCUGAGACGACUGAAAGUUAAGUCGUCUACUAUUGUUUGGUUUCAAAAAAAAUUCCAAAGAACCUAGACGACUUACAUUUCAGUCGUCAUAGGUUAGUUUUGCAUUUGACUGGAUAAUUUCAGAAGUUUGACUUCCCCAGACGACUUACAUUUCAGUCGUCUGGCGAAAAUUAAAAUAAUAAUAUUUUUUUAAAAGUAGACGACUUACAGUUAAGUCGUCAUAGGUUAGUUUUGCAAUUGAAAAAAAAAACUUCAAAAUUUAAUUAUACACAGACGACUUAUAAUUCAGUCGUCCACGAGACGACUUACUUGUAAGUCGUCCAGGAUUUUUUUCCGAGAUUCUGGUCAAACCUCGUAAAUCCUGGACGACUUACAUUUCAGUCGUCUCGUGGACGACUGAAUUAUAAGUCGUCUGUAUAUAAUUAAAUCUUGAAGUUUUUUUUUUCAAUUGCAAAACUAACCUAUGACGACUUAACUGUAAGUCGUCUACUUUUAAAAAAAUAUUAUUAUUUUAAUUUUCACUAGACGACUGAAAUGUAAGUCGUCCAGAAAAGUCAAACUUCUGAAAUAAUCCAGUCAAAUGCAAAACUAACCUAUGACGACUGAAAUGUAAGUCGUCUAGCUUUUUUGGAGUUUUUUUUUUAGCCAAACAAUAGUAGACGACUUAUUUUUCAGUCGUCCGAAAUAACAGAUUUCAAAGUCAAUUGCAAAAAUAACCUCUGCGUUGACCAGACGACGUAUAGUUUAGUCGUCUGGACAACUUAGAUUGAAGUCGUCCGCGUCUUCUCCGCUAGUUUUUAAGUCUUCUACGUUAGUUUUUGAAUAACUUGUAUUUUUAAGAGUGAUAAGUAACUUCAAGAUAUGUAAAACUCAUAUUUACAAAAUAUGUUCUCUCCCUUAGUUUUACUAAAUUUGACUAAGUUUUUCAACGCAAACUUAUAAUAAAAUAUGAUAUGCUUUGACUAGUUACUAUUGUUUGUUUCCAUCUCUUAAGUAUUAUUGUUAUAGACAAUAAUGAUGACUAUUGUUAUGAGUUGGAAGAAGGGUUAAAAUACUUCUUAAAAUGUUGUAUCAAUAUAAAGCUACCAACAUUCUUGUUUAUUAAGAUGAGAAAAAGGCCAUUGGAGUUUAUUAUUGCAUAUGAGAGAUCCAAAGAUAAGAAAAAGGCUACUGAAGUCUAUUAUUUCAUUGAUUUGUAAAUGUGUAAACACAUUGUUAGCACAUUUAAUACAUCUUGGAAAACAUUAUUACUGAUUUUACAAAAAAUUCACAACUAAAAGAGUAGACAUGCAAUUCACAAAACAGACCACAAACAAAACUAUUAUAGAUCAUUCCUCUACAAAGACAAGCUUGGAUUCCACUUGAGUAGACAAGACCACACGACUUUUAAGAAGUCCAGACGACUUCUAAGAAGUCCAGACGACUUCCAAGAAGUUCAGACGACUUUGUCAGAAGACUUUUAGGAAGUUCAGACGACUUCCAGACGACUUUACAGGAAGUCCAGACGACUUUACAGGAAGUCCAGACGACUUUACAGGAAGUCCAGACGACUUUACAGGAAGUCCAGACGACUUUGUCAGAAGACUUCCAAGAAGUCCAGACGACUUCCAGACGACUUCCAGACGACUAACAGGUAAGUCGUCCCAGAAGUCUUCCAGAUCUGAAAAACCUGCAUAUUAAAUCCAGAUCUGAAAAACCUGCAUAUCCAAAAACGUUCAAAUGACUUAAAAAUAGAGAAAAUGAGUGGAAGAUUAGAUAAAUCUACAUUUAUAGAACACACAAAAAUACAUAUCUAAAAUUAAUAGAUCUACCUCUAAAUUAGUGGAAGAUGAGUACCAUUUGAUUAAAAACCUGCAAAAGAGAUAGAUUAGUAAGAAAUACAUGAGACAAAACUGAAAAAUUCAUAUAAAGUUUGGUGUUUUCAAGUCAAAGAGAUUAGAGAGAGGUUGGAGAGUUUUAGAAUGAUGAACAUUACAUUUUUGUUGUUUACUAUACACAGAAAUAAACUUAAUUAUCUAAUUAAACACUUCAUAAAACCAAAUCAAACUUGAAAAGUGUUUACUAUACACAGAAAUAAACACAUAUAGGUGAAAACUAAUUUUUGAAAAAAACAUUUUAGUUUUCCAAAAUCUAGCCCUAACAAUACAUACAAUACUACAACAUAUGUUUGCCAAACUCCUAAACCAAAGUAUUUCAUGAUUCACUACUUCCACUCAUAUAUCUUCAAAACAAAUCAAUUUUAUCAUAUCUUAAUUUAUAUCAGUUAAAACUGUUUAUAAUUACUUGAUUUUUAUUUUUUACGCAUCAAAAUAUUUUUUUACAAGAUUUAUAAAUUAUUUUUAAAAUAAACUGGUACCAGACGACUUACACUUCAGUCGUCCAGACGACUUCCAAUAUCUCAGACGACUCAGACGAUUUACUGGGGCUAUAUUCGUAAAAAUGGCUUCUGUUUUUUUGUUUGGUCACAAGGGGCUGAGCUGUAAUUUCACUAGGCUUUUAGGUUAUUUUUGCAUUUGAUUCAAGUUUGGGUAUAGGUUUGGAAUUAAAAUCAAGUUGUGGGUUAGUUUUGGCAAAAACCCCUAACAAGUUGGUACUGAUUUCGUCAUGAUUGCCAUGCAAGACCAAUCAAAUUACUACAGUUUUCCUUUUGUUCGAGCACGUUGAUCCAUUCCUUUUUUUGCAGCGAUCAAUUCUUUGACAACGAAAUCGUGAAGGGAGAGUUGCACCAUGUGUUAAGUGUGCUUGUUUUCACACCGUUGUGUUUGUGUCGGCGAUACUUAAAUACUCCCUCUGGGUACAAGUACAUUAUGCUUAUGGUUGUUCACACAAUAUUAAAAAAAAAAAUAUUUAUUAUUGUCGAUUACUUUUUGGUUUUACUUUUAGUUAGUUUAAAGUUUUAUUUAAUUUUCAAUAGAAUCCAAGCACUUACAUUUUUUUACAUUUUGAUUUAUAUUUUAUUUUGAAAACAAAAUGCAUUAGUUGAAAGUAGAAUGCCAAUCUUUUGUAUAGAAAAAAAAAACUAAAAUAUCAUGCAUUGGUAUAGGGAUGAGUAUAAUUUAAUAUAAUUUAGUUAUAAUUGCAUUAUUUUUUGUUUAUGACGUAAUUAAGUCUAUAUCCCAACCACUUUUUAUAUUUUUAUAUCUAUUUUCUAGUUCUCUUUCAACUUAUCUACUGUUUUUUUUUCUUCCGCUCGUAAGGGAGAGCUGCAUUCUAUGUUUUUUUCACUCCAUGCAGACCCCGAUUCUGACCCCAUUCCUAUGAUUCAAAAUGUAUGGGGCUUAGGAUUUUUUAAGACUUUUAGAGUCUGUUUAUUUGAUUUAUUGUUAGUAUUAAUGUAGUAACAUAAUUUUUUGAAGAAGUGAAAUGCUAGAAUUCACAAGCUGUGGAACCAGUUUAAAAUGCAAAAACAAAUAAAUCUUAAAUACUGUUUUUUUUGUUUUCAUGAGAAAAAAAACUAAUAAAGCAACAUUAUGUUUCAGGUUAAGUUUGCUAUUUAAAUUUAAUUUUUAUGAACUAUUUAGGACCCAAAUAUUUUUAUUUUGUAUUAGACCCCGAAUAUCUCAGGACUGGCACCAUGCCAUUCUUUAUUUAUUACUCCAAAUUCAACCGGUUUAAAUUCAUUAGGGUGUAUAGUAGAGAUGUGAUCUUUGAUGAGAAAUAUAUGGUAAAUCAUGCGAGAUCAGGCCGAAUGUAUGUGAAGUUGAGGUUAUAACAUAAAUUCUGAAACAGAUCAGAAACGGUCUUGUAGAGUUAGACCAUCAACCGAUAGUGAUGAACAGUGUACAAAGUAGAGAACGGUUAACAACGUGUUAAUAACAUACAUAAACGUGUAUCGAAGCCCUUGUAGUUGACACAGAUUAUCAGUCUUGCCCUUGCAGUCUACAAAGGGUUGAAGACAUGAUCAAUUAAACCCUUGCAGUUGACACAGAUGAUACAUCCAGUUUUUUCAUGAAGCUAUAAAUAUUAAAGAGAGAUGAAUAGGUGCUACGAAAGAGUCAGUGAAUCUGGAUAAAUAUCGGACUUGAGAUUUUAUUGACUUGCCAAAAAGGGAUGCGAUAUGUCGCAAGUAAGUUUCAAGAAGAAAUUGGGAGUGUAUGGAAAAGAAGCUGUUUGGUUUCAAAGACUUGUAGCAAGCAAUUGUGGUUCGCCCAGAAGCUAGAUAAUCUAUACUAUUAAAGCAUAAUCCUUCUUAGAAUUAUGUUCCUAAUUUUCCAAUUAAUUGGAUUCUUCUUAGUUUAGAAAAACUUACUAUUAGAAAAGAAAGUCGGCUUUUUAGGGCUAGAAAUAGGGAUAUAUAUUCACAAAAUCAAUUAAAACUCAAAAAUGGAUAUUUGUGUAAAUAAAAUUUUCUCUCAAGUUUUUUUUUUGCUUUUUCAAGUUUUAUUUACCAAGUUUUUUUUAACAAGUUUAAACUAAGAGGGAGAUAGCAGAAGAUGAGCACAAGGUGAGAAUAUAAAGACUAUUUUGUGUUUAGUGAUUUUCUUAGUUCCAACGCAAAACGGUAAAUAGAUGGGGAGACUGAACUUGGUCUGUGUUAGUAUAACCUCAUAUGAAGCUAAAGCUUUGUAAGGAGCCAUUCCAUCAGUUAGAGUGACUACAGAGGAAGCUAUGUGAACUUUUCAUGAUUAGUUCGAGUUCCUGCACAGCUUGCAUUAGGCUCAUAGUUCUGAUGUAUAGCUUAACCUAUACAUACAACAGUAAACCCAACAAAUAUUGCUGUGAUGAUGAUUAUAAAUAAAUUGGCUAACAGUCUAUGAUCAAGAGAAAAAUUAUUAAGAAUUACAAGGUAACAUCUCUGAUUUUGUAGCUUCAAAAUGGAAACUAGAAGAAGUGAAUCGUAAGUGUGUUCCAGAACCAUCAUCGUUCCUUCUUCACAAUAUAUGCAGACUUGAACCAGUUCCUGAGAUUGAUCUGAAGUGAAACUUCCUGUAAUGUAUUGUUCAUUUCUGGUCGAUAUAAACAGCGUCAACAUCAUCAAGUUCAAGCAGUUUCUGCAUAAGCUCUUUGUUCAGUUCCAUGGCCUCAUCAUCCACCUGCAACAACCCCAGUAAUCACAUUUCCCAGCGAAUGAACUGAUGAAUAAUGAUAAGAGUGACUUUUAUAUGAGGGAAAGACAAGUUUAAAUGGAAGGCCAAGGGAUCAUAUCUUGGGGGUGUAAAUCUAUCAGUAUUAGGCAUGAGGAAAAAGGUUAUGGCACAGAGGAAAACAGUACAGAGCAAAGGUUCGCUACCUCAACUGUAGUCAGAGGGAGAAGUUCAGAGUCAUUGUCAGGCUCAAAGUUCACUCCUUCAUCACGUAGCUUUGACAACACUGUUGAGUAGUUCUCAUUAGAAGUUACAAUUUUGUAGUACCUGAGAGACAAGAAACAGAUGAAACAAAACAAAACAAAACAAAAAAACAUUACAAAAAUGUACUUGUGAAUCAUCUCGAAAAAAACAAAACAGUGACAGUAAAAGUGUAUACCUUUCUUCCCUAUCUUCAUCAGUAUCAUCUUCAUAACUAGGGGGAUCAAUAACAUCCUCAGCACCAGCAUCUAGAGCAAUAAUAAAGAGCUGGUCUUUGUCAGCCUCGGUGACCUUUAUGUUGACGACCCUAACUCGUCUAAACUUGAACAUGACAGAUCCUGAAUCAGCCAUUUUGCCGCCAUAAUCCUUAACAACUGAUCUAACAGCUGCCACUGAACGAUUAAUUUUGUCUGUUAAGACCUCGACUACCAUACUAACUCCACCAUACCCAUACACCUAAAAAAAAAGUGUUUUUUUCAGAGUCAUCAAAACACAAAACUAGAGUUUGAAGCAUUUGUGACAUAAAUAAACCUCAUAGAUCUUCUCGAUAAAAUCUUCUUGGCCCUUCUCAGAAGCCCUUUUAAUAUUACGCUCCACAAUGUCCUUGGGUACAUCCAGGUCUUUUGCUUUCUCAAGGAUGGUAGCUAGAACUGUAUUGGACACUGGGUUUGGACCCCCUUUCCUGACACUGCAUAGUCUUUGUCAUAAACCUUACCCACACAAAGAAGUUGAAUCCAGCAAACUAAACAUAGAACAUGCAACACAGAGAAAGAAGACUUACGCAGAUACAACCUCCUUGCCAAUCCUACAGUAUAGCUUCGCCUUCUUUGAAUCUUGAGCCCCCUGUAUUCACCACAAAGUUCAAGGUUCAAGUUUCUAAAACACAAUCUAUUACCAAACAACUCAAAGACAUUUCAUCGAACAGGUGGUGGGCAACAACAAUGACAAGCUCUAGAAACAACUUCUAAAUCGAUUAUUCCUGAAACUAUUUACAAUCAGGAUUCAGUAGUAAAGCAUUUGUGUAAUCAUUGAAAAUUGGAACCUUUCGGCCAGCGAUUUUGGAAGAGCGACGACCCAUACAAAGAGGAGAAGAUAUCCAAAUCUUUCUGACUUGACGAUUGGUGCACUUCUUCUGCUCAUGUGUGAAGUUGGAAGUAGUGUGAGUGGAGAUUGAGGAGAGAGACGAGAGAGAGUUGGGGAUGGUGAGAAGAAGACGACGAUGAUGAUGGUUUCCGGAGUUGAGAAUGGAUCUGGAAGAGACGACGCCAUUGGAGAAUCGGAGGAGGAGUACUCCAACAGCGCCUCUCAUCGUGCAGUGGGACGACGCCAUUGUUCGAUGGAUAGAGAAGAGAGGGAACUGAGGUAAACAACGAUCGUAUCCGAUUCCUAAAAUCAAAGCCUUGGAUCCGACCCAAUAACAUUAUAGGAUUUGGGUUAUUUUGGUGUUGAAAAAAUAAGGAUUUGGGUUAUUUUGGUUUAGAAAGGUUCUAGUGAGGAACCCAAUAUGUGUUGGUCGGCUUGAAGACCGCUCAAUCCAACGAAAAGGGAAUGACGGAUACUGAAAUAGUUGUUUUCAAUUUAAACUUGUUUCAAUUGAAUUUUGUGUAACACUUUGGUGGGUGUACUAAGUAGACUCCGAGGGUAAUACAAUCGGUUCUAUAUGUAUAUCCUAAGCGUAGGUUUGUUUCGAACAUUCUAAAAUCACAGUGCCAGCGUCAUGAAUGUGCCUAUCAUGAAAGAAGCGAGUAGCAACAGACGGUUUUCAUGCCGAAAAUCAUAUAACAUUGAAAGAUUUCACUCUGAAAGCUUACAAAAAAUACAUAAUAGAAGAAUCUGAAAUACCCUGCAAAAAGGCAAACAGAUACACCUCACUUGCCUUCUUUCAUGGCGACCUCACUGAUUCUCUUCUCUGCAAUUUGCAAUUCUCAGACAAAAUGCAAUGAACCAGCACCAAGCUUCACACCUAACUCUCCCAACUUCCUUCCGGAGCACUGAACAAGGCAUGGCCUUUACGUCCCAACCACAGUUAUUCAAGCUCGCUCACCCCAGCGUUUGGAUACUCGCCCCAUAUCCCACCAAACAAACAAAAUCAUUUGAAAGUUCUCUUUUUUUUUUUCCUUUUUUUUAUCCUUCCAUCUUUUUGGUUUUUUGAAAUCUUUUUUUCCUCCUUUUUAAGCUUUUCUUUUUUCAAAAUUAGGUGUGCUUACCAAUGAGUGUCGAAUUCUGGAAGCUGUAGUCCACCAAAGCAACAGUUAGUUGCUCUGAUUCUUCUUAUUUAUUUAUUUUUGUUUUUUGGUCUUUAUCCUUUUCUUUAUUUGCAGGCUCUCAUUACGAUUGCUGAGACCCUCACACUAUCGACUUCAAGCCCAACCUGUUGCUGCUACAAAAAAAUACCAAGAAAACACCAAAAAAAAGAGCAUAAAGAGAUCAUGAUUUGCAUAAAUUAACAAUGGGUUGCAAAAGUACAUGCCUCAUCAGUGAAUUCUGCAAUGAUUCUGACCUAGCUCCGUCUUCCGGCCUCCCCAUCCCCAUGAGUAAAUUAUUUGUCUAAGCCACGAGAAAAGGAAAUUUAUAAGCAAGUAGAGCAGUGAAUGAAAAAAUAUAUAAAGUUUUCAAGUAGAUGCUACACAAUAAAGCAUGGAAGUACGAGGAUGACAUAUAUUUAUAUAUGCACUAGUUAGGAUGCACAACAUUCUAUUUUAAGCUAGUUACAUUAUAUGUUUAUUUAUUCUAAAACAAAAGUACGAGGAGGAUCACCCUUCAACAUGUCAUGCACUGGGUGGUGACAUACACAAGCUACCAAGCGCGGAAACUCUACAGGAGAAUAAACCUAAUGCCAAAUGACAAGAGUUAGAAUAAAAAAACCUGAAGUUCUUCUGACAAACCACUUUUCAACAAUCCAUCUGAAUGCAAGUUUCUAUGUUCCCCAGAUGAAUCCAAACUUGCAGCAGCCAAAAAACCCUGUAACAACCCAUGAUGACAAAGACUAGUACGUUCAAGACAUUUUUUUCCCAAUUUGUUACGAAUUUAAUACUAUAAUCAUCGGAUAGGAAAACUCACCUCAUGAUCAAGGCUCCGCCUACAUAAUCCAUUCUGCAAAACACCAUCAGCAAUUUCUCCUAACAUGGAUUCCCUCUCAACUCUAUCAACAUCCUCUUUCAGAUUUGGUCUCCUUGGAAGACGUUGCUUGUCAGUGUCAUUGAUAGAUUCAGAGUCCACAACACGACCUUUUUCUUUAUUCUGCCCACCUUCACAUGUUACCACAACACUAGGAUCAGGUCUCGCAUCCUUUCCUACAGGCUCAGCCAGGUCACGACAGCCUUGAACUAGAGACCUAUUAUCCACUUCUACGUUUUGCUUGCUACCAGAGUUAAGAUCAUUAGGGAUGGAGCAACCAAUAUCACUAGUUACUAAGCAUUCGGCUCUAGGACCUGAAACAAUGCCAAUCGGGGGAGUCCCACCAGUUGUGAUAGCACUACUUUCAGGAGAAACCACAUCUACACUAGGUGGACUAACAGAUGCACGCUUCUCAGGUUUCUCUGGCCUUGUAUCCAUCAAUUCAUUGUCGUUUUUUCUCUUGGCAUGUCUCUCAACAUUGGCGGACAAAGAUUCAACCGGCUCACCAGGUUCUCCGCCUUGUUGAUUCUGGAGCUUGGGUUGCCGAAACCUUUUGUAUCCGUUUGGAAAAACAAAAGGAGGGAGCUGCCGUCUACGAACAUGAGAAACAAAUACGUCCAUCCCAGGUCUCCAAAACAUAUACAUGUUUACGUCUUGCCUGAACUCAUCCACGGUUCCACGUAUAUCAAACUGUUGACACUCUUGGCCACCAUAUCCUUCUGCCCUUUGCAAGCCCAUGAAAAAAGCACAAUGCCGAAACUGCUUGGAAGUGUCCACGUACUCAUUUGGUUGAGGAUGGCACAUUAACAUCCCAUUUGUGUCUCGUUCUAUCUGCGUUAUUGGAUAAAAAACAGAACAAAAACCCUUCAGUUAUUGAAAUUUUUACCAGUAAAAAUUAGAGAGCACAUUGAAGACACUAAAGGUGUACUCAACAUCAAACGAACAUAAGUCUAUAUACCUUCAAGGUCAGCUGCCGGAACCUUGACUCCACCCAACCCUUCCAAGCCAAUAAAUCUUCUGCAUCUGCUGCUAGUACAUCAACCUGAAGGUAGUUUUUAUAUGCCUCGAAGAACAUAUAUUGCUCAAAUAAGGAACUCCAGUGUUGUUUGUUUAACUCAAUCUCCUGCAGACAAAAUGAUGCUUAGCAAUUGGAACAGAGGAUACUGUUCAUAAACAAAAUCGUCUCCCUCACCUGACAGAUCUUGUUACCAUACUGGAAUUGCUCCAUCAUAACACGAAGAGUGCUUUGAGAGACAUUGUAACUAGAAUUCAUGCAUGGGUAAGCAGGAGUUAUUAUUGGCAUAAGAUGAUAGCGGUCACGGUGAUACUUUCGCGGAUCCCAGACAGGAAUCCCAAGCUCAUCCUCUUCUAUUGCACAGAGCAUGACUGGAUUCGGCCAACGCCAUUGUGUAUAUACUCUAAAGAAUCGAGAAACCAACAUACUGGGAAUAGCAUUUGGAUAAAGCUGGCACAGGCGUGCAACCAGAAGCGCCCAGUUUACGCCACCAAGAAAUCCAGUAACCUGCUCAAAAUAAUAGAGAUAGAUGUCAAGAGCUUGAACAUUUUUUGUCUAACAGAUGUAACGUUCAGAAAGAAAACACAUUACAUUUGAAUAGACCCCACGCCUCUUAGCCCAGUACUUCAUGCAUCUUAAUGUUGUCCGGAAGUGCUACAUUUGCAAAUAAAUGUCAGAGAUAGCUUACAAAAUGUGUUAAGUCUAUUUACCAAAAAAAACUGGCAUUCAACUGACUUUACCUCGAAAUUUGGAACGAGUUUAAGAAUCUGAUCAGCAACCCUGCAACCAUUGAGACUGCGGACAGUUUGCUCAUCAACAUCAGAAAGCACAGAAGAGUUGGAGAUAUCCAGAUCCUGUUAGAAACAAGGGAUCUGACUCAGCAAGAAAAAUAUAAACUUUGGCGAGAAUCCAGCUUAGUACAUGUAUAAAUCAUGCCUGAAGGUUCAAAAAAUGGCAACCCAACAUCUAAGUGUUUACUAAGGCCAAAUUUCCGAAAAUAAGUUUCUUUGAUAUCUGAGCCCCCGAAGAGUAUGACACUAUAUGUGACCAUUAACACGCAACAGAAGCACGAAAACCACCAAACUAAUCACCCCUAAGUUUGAGCGGAAACAGAAAGAGGCUACACUGAAAUUACCUGUGGCACAACAAGAAGUGAGAUGCUAGCAUACAAAAGAUCAAUAGAUAUUCCUUGGAACUUAAAUUUCAUGACAGGGACAUGGGCAUCGGUAACAGGUUGAAGGUCAGUCACCUCUUCCAUCUCAGCCAAUAUAUCACGCAAGAUGAUGAAGAAAUCCUCCUGCACGAAUAAACCCGUUAGAAAACUUAAAAACAAUACGCAUCAGUAAAAAAUGUGUACAAAGUGUCACCUCUCGGUUGACAUAAGAUGGGCCAACACAUAAAGAAUCAAUAUCAGCCCCAGGUCCGUGCACCUGCAAGUCCAAAAAAAAAGAUCAAUAAUCCAAGUAAACCAUAACAUUUAGCGAAACUGAUGGCUCCGAAUGGUGACUGUGGUUUGAGCGGUGCGGUUCAACUGCGAUACGAUUUUAACAGUUAUAAAAACGUAUAGAUAUAUGGUAUAUAUAGAGAUUUUUUGUUAUUGUUAACUGCGGUGCGGGGCGGUUGUAAACAUUCGAAGCCAAAGAAUAGCAACUUACUCCAAGGCGGUAAGAUCCAAAAGUGAAAAUGAGAGCGUUAGCGUCCUCCAUCAUCUGAUCUGAAUAUCCCCUCUGAUGAGUUAACUCUUUCACCCACUCUUUUACAAUCUAUACAUGAAUGGUAAAGAUUAGAGCUUAAAACAGCAAACAAGGUUGAGCCAAUUUUGAACCUGAUCAAUGCGUCCAAGAACUUCCUCUCUCCGCAUGGUUUCCUCCUUGCUCUCGUACAGCCCCUCAUCAACCAGAAACUUCGGAUAACAAAACAAAAUCAGCUAAAAAUCAAACUAACAAAAGCAAAAUACACAGAAGAGAAUGAUUACCUUCUCCAGCUCCAAAUUACGCUUCAAAUCAGCCGCGGAAGGACCAGAAACAGAGAGCGGCUUCGUGAUUCCAUAGCUUUUAAGAGAUUGAGUUCCCACCAUGAUUAUAAACCCUAAGCCGAUCCAGCAGAAAAUAUAUCUAUAUAGCUAUCUAGGAAGAUAAUUAUUAUAUAGAUAUUUUAAGAUCUGAUCGAAGCAGAGAUCAUGAUGAUUUCGAAAUCUAAUAAGGAAAGGGAAUUCAAAUUUCGAAAAACUGGAGACGGAAAAGGAAACCGAGAGAAGAAGGAAGUGGCGAGAAAAGCUCGGAAGCCCUAAAUCGGUGACUAGAAAUUCAAAGAGGAGUCAAAGAGAGAAGGACGAGGAGGUUACAAUCAAUUUUUUGACUGGUUCUUAGGAGGAAGAGAGAGAGAGAGAGAGAGAGAUGGAGACGCAAAGGGUAUACGAGAGGGAAGGAGAGACGUCUAUUCGUCUAGAUAUUUAUUAGGUGAAAACCAGACUUAUCAUUGAAUAAUCAAAACGUUUUUUUUUUAUGUUUACUUGAAAUUUGAAAUUUUUGUUAAAUACCGUAAUAAUUAUGCGCAAAAUAUCCGCACCCUAAGAACCGAUUCAAAAUUAAAAGUACAGAACUGAAUCUAGAUAUAUAAAAGUUUUAGUAUUGAAUCUACCCCUGCGAAAAAAAUGAAAGUUAAAUUAUCAACUUCUAAAUUUGUUUGAAAAGAACGUGAUUUUUUUCGUGAAUCAUUUAAAAUUAUUUUGACUAACCGUUUUAACUUUUAACAUAUUUUGACUAAACCGUUUUCAAAACGACAUUAUAAAUUGAAGUUUUAAAUGGUCCACGAAAAAAGUUCAUGCAUUUUUUCAAUCAUCUUUGAAGUUUGGUGAUUUUUUCUAAAAAAUAUUCUAAUAUAUUUAAUAUAUAUAUCUCCAAAAUAUUAGUUAUAAAAAUAAUUAUAAUAAUUAUAGUACUGAAAAACAAAAUCAUAAAUUUAAUAUGUUUGGGACAUUUUGUUAUUAGUGCUACUUUGUAAUCGGACCCAUUAGGGUUUUCUGUGGCUUUUAUUUCUUAUUUUAGUUUGUACCUAUACGCAAUAGUUUGUUCCCCUUGUGGGAGGAAUUUGUCGUCGGGAAGUUUCUGGAUAUUGCCCCUCACAUAGCAAAGGUUCAUAUGGUGGUAAAUAAGAUCUGGAGCUAUGGUGACUCUAACUCUAAAGUAGAGGUGUAUGAUGUGGAUGCUAGAACGAUGAGAUUCAAGAUAUCGAGUUUGAAAGCUAGGGAGAAGGUAAUCAAAAGAGGGAUGUGGAAUAUUGUGGGUGUUCUGAUGGUUGUGAAGAAGUGGUCUCCAAAGGCUGAAGAGGAGAAACAGGAAGAAGAAACUAUUCCGAUGUGGGUUCAUUUGAGGAAGAUUCCGCUCAGUACGUUCUCGUGGGAGGCUCUUAGUUUCAUGACGAGUAUUGUGGGGUAUCCAGUCCGUCUGCACCCUGAGACAAUUGCGUGUUCCAACUUUGAUGAGGCUAAAGUUUUUGUCAAAGUUGACAUAACAAAAGCUUUACCAAAGGAAAUUGAUUUCACAUGGGGAGGUAAGGAGUUUACGGCAGCUUUCCAUUACCCGUGGUUACCAUCUAGGUGUAACCUUUGUGAGAAGUGGGGGCACACUGAUAUGGUAUGUGGGAUGAAAAGAAGAGAGAAGAAGCCGGAAGAAAAUGGGAAUAAGGAAGAGAGUCCAACAGCUAAAGUAAUGGAGAUAGUAGGAGAACUAGAGAAAAGUAUUGCUGUUCAUGAGAGAUCUGUUCAAAUAAUGGAGGUUGGUACUAGUAGAAAGGAGGUUUCAGAGGUAAAGAAAGCUGAUGUAGUGGAAAGUUCGGGUCAGGACUCAGAAUUGAGGAAAAGAAAUGGUUGGUCGCUAGUAUCGCCUGACAAAAUUGGCAGAGCUCACUCCACACCGGUGGAAACUAGUGUAGUUCAAAUCUCUGCUUCCAAGUUCUCUGUUCUAUCCAUAGAUGUGGAGGAAGGGGAGAUAACUGGAAAUCAGGAGGAUGAUGGUAUCGAAAAUAAGGAGACUGAGGCAGUGAGCAUUCUGGAGGGUGAUGUGUUUGAAGAUGAGAUUCUUGAUCAAAUGGGUAAAGAAAAGGAUAAGGCGGUUAUGCAAAAAGGAGGUAGAAGAGUUCAGAGGGCUAAAGCUCAACAGGUUCAACCUAAGAGUAAAAGGUCCUCUAGACGUAAUCUAUAAUCAUGGCAAGUUUCUUCUGGAAUGUUAGAGGAUUUAAUAAAGAUUUGAAGCAUUCUGUGGUAACUGACUGGGUAAAUAAUAGGGAGAUGAAGUUUGGCUGCAUUUUAGAGACUAGAGUGAAGGAAGGGAAAGCUGAGAAAAUUCUUAAAAAAGUGUUUAGUGGUUGGUCUUCUAUAACAAACUAUGAAGACAGUAGAGGUGGAAGAAUCUGGUUAGUUUGGAGAGAUAUGAUUCGUAUGACUUCUGUAUAUAAGUCAGAUCAUAUAAUAACCUGCUCAGUGGAGAUGCAGGGUGAAGAGGGAUUUUAUUAUUCUUGUAUAUAUGCUAGUAAUUAAGAGGAGGAGAGGAAGGCGUUGUGGGAAGACUUGGUUCAUCACAAUAGCUCUUCCUGUUUCAAAGAUAAAGCUUGGCUAAUUAUGGGAGACUUUAACGAAAUAUUGGAUGGUGGAGAGAGUUCAAGAUUUGAUAACAUGAGAAAGGUUUCUAACGGGAUGAGAGAGUUUCAGAGAUUGGUUUUGCAUUGUCAGCUUACCGAUAUGGCUUACCAAGGGCCAAAGUAUACGUGGUGCAACAAGCGGGAAGAUGGGAUCAUUUGUAAGAAGUUGGAUAGGGUUCUACUGAAUGAAGAGGCGGUUCAGAGGUUCAGCAAUGCAUAUUCUGUUUUUGAACCAGGAGGCUGUUCAGAUCAUAUGUGUUGUACAGUUCAGCUCUUUCCACCAGGUGAAAAAAUUAGGAGACCUUUCGAGUACGUUAACGCUAUAGGUAGUCUUCCUGAUUUUCUACCUAUGAUCCAAGGAUAUUGGGAUUCCACGGCGAGGUUAUAUCACUCAACUUCUGCGAUGUAUAGAUUCUCAAAGAAGCUAAAAACACUAAAGCCUUUGAUUCGAGAGAUGGGGAGAAAUAAGCUGGGUAAUCUCACUGUAAGGGCUAAGGAUGCGUAUGAAGUAUUAUGUGAAAAGCAGAAAAAGACACUAGUGAACCCAAGUGCACUUGCAAUUCAAGAGGAGGCAGAUGCAUAUGGGAAGUGGUUACAUAUUGCAAGUUUGGAAGAAGAUUUUCUCAAACAAAGAGCGAAGUUACACUGGUUAGAUGUGGGAGACAAGAAUAACAAGACUUUUCACAGAGCUAUAAAAACCCAUCAAGCUCAGAACAUGAUCAGAGAAAUCAGAUGUAGAAGUGGAAGAGUAGUAUCUACGCAUUCUGAGAUUAAGCAAGAAGCUGAAAGUUUUUUUGCUGAGUUCCUUAAUCACAGACCUGCAAAAUAUCAUGGUGCUUCGGAGGAAGAGUUACACGAGCUACUCAAGUUUCGCUGCUCAUCAGAUGACUGUAGUCAAUUGGAGGCAGUAGUGACAGAGGAGGAGAUUCGCAAAGUGCUCUUUGCGAUGCCAAACAACAAGUCACCAGGGCCAGAUGGAUACCCAAGUGAAUUCUUCAAAACAGUCUGGCCGGUAAUAUCUCAAGACUUCAUUAUUGCGGUUCAAUCUGUCUUCCGAUAUGGGUUUUUGCCGAAAGGUGUCAACUCUACCAUCCUUGCGUUAAUUCCCAAGAAGUUAGAUUCGAUGGAGAUGAAGGACUACCGACCUAUUGCGUGCUGUAAUGUAAUCUACAAGGUGGUUUCAAAGAUCUUGGCAAAUAGACUUAAGAAGCUUCUGCCCCGUUUAAUAACUGAGUCGCAAUCUGCUUUCGUUCAAGGUCGGCUUCUUAUGGAAAAUGUUCUCCUUGCUUCUGAGUUGGUAAAAGGCUACCACAAAGAAGAGAUUACACCGAGAUGUCUAAUGAAAAUAGACAUAUCAAAAGCGUUCGACUCAGUCCAGUGGGAAUUCAUAUUGAAAAGUAUGAAGGUUUGGGGUUUUCCGGAGAAAUUUAUGCAUUGGAUAAAGCUCUGUAUUACCAGUCCAUCUUUCUCUGUACAAGUAAACGGUGAUCUUGCGGGCUACUUUCAAAGUUCUAGAGGUCUUCCACAGGGUUGCUCAUUGUCUCCAUAUCUUUUUGUGAUGUGCAUGAAUGUGCUGUCACUGAAGAUUGAUCGUGCUGUGGCUGAAGAGAAGUUUGUCUUUCACCCGGGAUGUAAAAAGCUGUCACUCACCCACUUGUGUUUCGCAGACGAUCUAAUGGUGUUUGUAGAAGGUUCUAAAAGAUCCAUCGAAGGUGCUCUCUCAGUAUUUGAAAGGUUUGAAACCUGGUCUGGGCUGAGCAUAAGUUUGGAGAAAUCAACAAUAUAUAUGGCGGGGGUUGCAGAAGCAGAGAGAAGUAGUAUCUUGACAAAUUUUCCCUUUGCAGUUGGUGAGCUUCCAGUGAAAUAUUUGGGGUUGCCACUAAUGACUCAAGCCAUGAGAAAACAAGAUUAUCUUCCACUACUGGAGAAAAUCAGGAGUAGAAUCUGUACCUGGACGUGUAGGUUCCUGUCUUACGCAGGAAGACUGCAACUGAUAAACUCAGUUCUUAUGAGCAUUGUGAAUUUCUGGACGUCAGUUUUCAGGCUACCAAGUGCGUGUGCAAAAGAAGUGGAGCAAAUUUGUGCUGCUUUUCUUUGGACGGGUCCUUCACUUAAAACUUCAAGUGCUAAAGUGGCUUGGAAAGAGGUUUGUAGUCUGAAGAGUGAAGGUGGGUUGGGAAUUAGAGAGUUGAAAGAAGUAAACAAGGUGUAUGGGCUUAAACUGAUAUGGAGGAUGCUGGCUGGAGAUUCUUUGUGGGGAAAAUGGAUUAAAGAUAAUCUGCUUAAAGGGAGAAGUUUUUGGGAGCUAAAUUCAAAAAUGCAGAAUGGAUCUUGGAUGUGGCACAAAAUGUUGAAGCUGAGACCAGAAGCGAAGAGGUUUUAUCAGAAAGAGUUGGGCAAUGGUAGAAAUAUUUCCUUCUGGUUUGAUUCCUGGUCGAAGCGNNNNNNNNNNNNNNNNNNNNNNNNNNNNNNNNNNNNNNNNNNNNNNNNNNNNNNNNNNNNNNNNNNNNNNNNNNNNNNNNNNNNNNNNNNNNNNNNNNNNCACCAAUAGGAUGCCUUCCGGUGCAAGUAACACUUGGUACUGUCACUCUCCCUCGGAUCUUCCAUAAACGGAUCUGUACGGAAAACCAGAACACUGAUUCUCAGCUAUACAAUCAAAAGCUACUGAAGCUAAACUUCCUUUUCAGUCAGAGGCUUCGAGGCUCCAAAAUUCUUUACCUCGACAUCUACACUCCAAUAAUGGACAUGAUCAAACAUCCUUAUAAAUACGGUAUGUAAUUUGAUUUUUAUACACAAGAAAAUUUGUUAACUGUGGCGUAAAUUUUUUUGACUUGAUAACUUUGGAAUAUGAAUAAAUGCAGGAUUAGAAGAAACGUUAAAAGGAUGUUGCGGGACGGGGUUCUUAGAAGCAGGACCUCUAUGCAAGUCGUUGUCUGGAACUUGUGAUGAUGUUUCCAAGUAUUUGUUCUUCGAUUCUGUGCAUCCUACCCAAAAGGCUUACUCUGUCAUUGCUACUUACGCCUUACAAAAAUUGUUGCCUCUCCUCUAAUUUGUUAGUGUAAAGAUAACACUACAAUUGAGUAAUGCAGAAAAUAAAUCAAGAGACAAAAUAGAUAUAAGCAACCAACUAUUGUUUUAUUAGAAAUCGCCUAAAAAAUUUAUUACAAGACUUGUUUAUCAGCUUUACACAACCUGUUAACAUCCUAACAGCUGUUAAUGAAAGAUUCUUAAUCUAUCCAAACUUAUCUCUUUAUCGUCAGUACUUCAACAUAUGCAUCACCACGACCCAAGAACACCCCUAAGAGAUUUUCACCCUUACUCUAUAAUAAUAGUCAGUGUCUUAUGAAAUACACACGACUCCAUAGCUCUUUUAUAGUGAUUUUCACAUUCUUGAAAUCCUAAUCUCCAAAGAACAUGGAUACAAACAACUUCCAUAUCAAUAAGUAUACUUUCUUUUUCUUAAAAUGCACUUAUUUUUUAAAGCAUAAACUUGCUUCUCAAGUUUAUCUCCUGCCUUUUGUCCACGGUAUAAACUUGCUCCUCAAGUAUAUCCCACGCCAGCUCAACACCUUGCAUCCAUAUGGUCUCCACAACUCUGCAUGCCUCCUGGUUCACUCUCUGGCGCACACUGCCUCAUCAACUACUUCAACGACUACAUCAAGAUAUAAACUCUUAGUUUAUCCUUCUUCAUCUCAGCAUAUCUUGCAUCCAUAUGGUAACCCACCACUCUGCAUACCUUAUGUAGUAAUGACUAAUGCAUCCAACAUCAGUGACUUCGUUGCCUAGUUAAUCUUGAAAGACUAUUGACAUCUACAAGUUCAACCUGCAUCUUUAUAAUUUUUAUAUUAUUCUCUGCAAUUUUUUAAGGAAUGUUAUCACGUCCACAACACUUUUCGCAAGCUAACUGACAAAUAUAAACUUUUAAUUUUGUUACUACGGUUUAUUUCCCUCUCCAAACUAACUGACAAUUAAUUCAGAGUGAAGAAAUUUCGAGUCUCGAGUUAUGUUAACUAGGUUAUUAGAGAGGGCAUUCAUUGAUAAUAUGGGAAUAAAUUCUGAUUAAAAGACAUUUUAAUGAAUAUGUGGGGGUCAUCUUCUAUAUGGCAUUUAGGUAUGAACAUUGAAGAAAAAUAUGUAUUGUGUAGCCUUUUUCAAAAAAAAAAAAAAUUUAUGUAUUGUGAAAAUGCUACGAUAAGUCAAAUAUUAACAACAAAAGGAUCUUUCACCUUACAUAAAUAUUUGACUUAUAUAUACUGUCCAAAAUAUUAAGGAUUGGGAAGAAUCUGAUACAAACAAAGAAACAAGUAGACACAAAACCAGAAAAACCUUUCGUAGUUUUUUUAUUCCCUGAAAAAUAUGUAAAUAUUCUGAAAUAUAUAAUACAAUAUAGUCAAAUUGUUUUCAAGACCCGAGAUGAUAAGAAAACUAGUAUGGCAAAGUACAUCUGUCUUCUUGUUUUUCUCUUUUAUUUUAUUUUAAAAGAAAGUCAUAUGAGAGAAGAAACAAAUAUGCAAAGAACUUCCGUUGUAAUAUAAAAGGAGUGGUAUUGUCAGGAACAAUAUACUAAAAGAGUGGAAUGGAAAGAAAAAUUGAUGUUUUUAGUUGGGUCUAAGUAAUUUCAAAUGAUAAGUAUUAUUCUAAUGUCUCAGCCAUACGUAGCGCAAUUUGAUUUGUUAUAUUAUCUACAACUAAAUUAAGAUCACUUAAAUUGAGAGUUGAUUUUGAAAAGUUGACAACGGUUAGUUUGCCGUUAGAUGUCCAAAGACGACGUAAUUUAACAUAAUUGAUGUUGAAUGGGUACCUGCAAGUGAGCAUUUGAUAAGAUAGAGACAGGAAAAGUUUUUUUUUUGUAACAAAUAAGACAGGAAAAGGUUAUCGAGAUCAACCCAAGCAUAUACGAUUGCAUAUAUAAGCUUCACUGGUUUAACGUUAAUGCAUAAAUUAAUUACUGACAAAAUCUCCAUGUUAGGGGAAAAAGUAAUGGCUUACGAUACUUGUGUCGUGUGAGAGUGAAAGCGGAAAUUACGCAUACAUUUGCAACGUCUCACAACAAGACACAACCAAGACAACGUGCAAUGUUCUUGUAACUCUCAAAACCAUAUAGACUCACUAAUCUUUUUUAAUGGUUACUAUUCAGGAUAAAACGAAUCUCUCUGUUCACAACUCGAUCACAAACAUUUAUAUUUAAAUAAGCAUUUAACAUCUCGACAUAAUUAUACAGGAGUGUCAAAAUGAGCUAUCUCGUUCAACUCAGCUCAUAGUGAGCUCGGAUCUUUUAUGAACUAGCUCAACUCAGCUCAUUUAUUAUAUGAGCUUCAAUAUGUAAUUCGAAUUUAGAUUAUCUAAAUCAUGAUUUAAACGAACUAACUCGCGAUCAAAUAUAAAAUCAUAUUAUAUAACUAAUUAUAAAUAAAAUAUAGAAUUAAAAUAAUUUUCAUAAUAUAAUUUAAAAUUUAAAUAUUAAAACUCCAAAACAUUAAUAUGAAAUACUGAAUAAAACCAACACCUAAGAAUACAUUAAAUCAAAGCUAAAUUAAUGAUCCAAAAAUCUAUUUUUACUUUUUGAUAAAAUGUGAAAUUUUAUUGAUCAAGACAAAAAGAAUAAGCAUUUACAUGAUCCAAUAAAGCCUAAAGAGAUUUACAAGGCAAUAACAAUGAUUUAUUUUGUUAUGUAUUAGCUGAGACUUCAAACCAUCUUUGCAUCAGUCCUGCAAGCUUAUGAUCAUGCGAGCUUAUAUCACUCCAAAAAUCUAUUCCACAUAAGAGUCUUGAGAUGAUUACGUAUGAGAGUCUUCAUCUAUUCAAAUUAUAAAAAUAUAUAUUACGUAUGGGUGUCUUAGGAAUAUUUUGUUUUACAUUUUUAUUCUAAACAUAUAUGAUAUGAGGAUUGAUAUCAAUAUUUGUUUUACAUUUUAUAUAUGUUUAAAAUUUUUUGGUUUUACAUUUUAAUUUAGAAAAUAAAUAUGAUUAAAAUAGAAACUAUCUUUUCUUAAAUAUGAAAAAUAAAAGUCAUCCAUAUAUAUAUAUAUUAAAUACAAAAAUAAUCAUACUAUAAUGAAUUAGCUCAUGUUCAUAAAAUAUUGUUCAUAUAACUUGUGAUCUAAUUUAAACUCGAUCAUAAAGUUCAUUUAUUAAAGGGAUUUUUGCAAAAUUGACCUACAACUUAAAGUCAAACACAAAACUAACCUCCCUUUUUUUUGAAAAUUGGUUUUGCCCUAUUCACCCCACAAGUUCAUAUAAUUUACGAAAAUGCCAUCAAUUUUUUUUUUUUUUUUUUCGAAAAUGACAUUUUUACUCUCUCACCCUCAUCAUCUUCAAGUAAUUACAAGAUUGCCAUUGUCAUCAAUACCACAACCACCAUGAACAACCAAUUUGAAGCUCUUAAUGCUCCCAAAAUCGAUUUACCCUUCUUAUUUUUCCAUUCUUGUGAACUAAACACAACAUAUCUCUCACUUUCUCUCCACAAUAAGCUAAAAAAACCCAAGAUUUUGAUUCUAAAAUUUUUAUGGUUCAUAAAGUCAUAGAAGCUAACGAUUAUGGGUGGGUGACUUUCGUUUGUGAUUCUGUGUGCUUGGAGAAGCCUUAUGUAUGCUAAGGAACUUAUCUCACCAAUUUAAGGUAUGACAUCGAGUUUUUUUCCAGAUCUGUUCGUCAGACGACUUACUUGGGAAGUCGUCUCGCUGUAGACGACUUACCUUUCAGUCGUCUGGCUGUAGACGACUUACCUGGAAGUCGUCUGGUCAACGCAGAGGUUAUUUUUGCAAUUGACUUUGAAAUCUGUAACCUGAGACGACUGAAAGUUAAGUCGUCUACUAUUGUUUGGUUUCAAAAAAAAUUCCAAAGAACCUAGACGACUUACAUUUCAGUCGUCAUAGGUUAGUUUUGCAUUUGACUGGAUAAUUUCAGAAGUUUGACUUUCCCAGACGACUUACAUUUCAGUCGUCUGGCGAAAAUUAAAAUAAUAAUAUUUUUUUUAAAGUAAACGACUUACAAUUAAGUAGUCAUAGGUUAGUUUUGCAAUUGAAAAAAAAAACUUCAAGAUUUAAUUAUACACAGACGACUUAUAAUUCAGUCGUCCACCAGACGACUUAAUUGUAAGUCGUCCAGGACUUUUUUCUGAGAUUCUGGUCAAACCUCGUAAAUCCUGGACGACUUACAUUUCAGUCGUCUCGUGGACGACUGAAUUAUAAGUCGUCUGUAUAUAAUUAAAUCUUGAAGUUUUUUUUUCAAUUGCAAAACUAACCUAUGACGACUUAACUGUAAGUCGUCUACUUUUAAAAAAAUAUUAUUAUUUUAAUUUUCACUAGACGACUGAAAUGUAAGUCGUCCAAAAAGUCAAACUUCUGAAAUAAUCCAGUCAAAUGCAAAACUAACCUCUGACGACUGAAAUGUAAGUCGUCUAGCUUUUUUAGAUUUUUUUUUUAACCAAACAAUAGUAGACGACUUAACUUUCAGUCGUCCGAAAUAACAGAUUUCAAAGUCAAUUGCAAAAAUAACCUCUGCGUUGACCAGACGACAUAUAGUUUAGUCGUCUAGACAACUUAGAUUGAAGUCGUCCGCGUCUUCUCCACUAGUUUUUAAGUCUUCUACGUUAGUUUUUGAAUAACUUGUAUUUUUAAGAGUGAUAAGUAACUUCAAGAUAUGUAAAACUCAUAUUUACAAAAUAUGUUCUCUCCCUUAGUUUUACUAAAUUUGACUAAGUUUUUCAAUGCAAACUUAUAAAAAAUAUGAUAUGCUUUGACUAGUUACUAUUAUUUGUUUUCAUCUCUUACCAACAUUCUUGUUUAUUAAGAUGAGAAAAAGGCCAUUGGAGUUUAUUAUUGCAUAUGAGAGAUCCAAAGAUAAGAAAAAGGCUAUUGAAGUUUAUUAUUUCAUUGAUUUGUAAAUGUGUAAACACAUUGUUAGCACAUUUAAUACAUCUUGGAAAACAUUAUUACUGAUUUUACAAAAAAUUCACAACUAAAAGAGUAUACAUGCAAUUCACAAAACAGACCACAAACAAAACUAUUAUAGAUCAUUCAUCUACAAAGACAAGCUUGGAUUCCACUUGAGUAGACAAGACCAGACAACUUUUAAGAAGUCCAGACGACUUCUAAGAAGUCCAGACGACUUCCAGGAAGUUCAGACGACUUUGCCAGAAGACUUUUAGGAAGUUCAGACGACUUCCAGACGACUUUACAGGAAGUCCAGACGACUUUUAGGAAGUCCAGACGACUUCCAGACGACUUCCAGACGACUUCCAGACGACUUCCAGACGACUAACAAGUAAGUCGUCCCAGAAGUCUUCCAGAUCUGAAAAACCUGCAUAUUAAAUCCAGAUCUGGAAAACCUGCAUAUUCAAAAACGUUUAAAUGGCUUAAAAACAGAAAAAAUGAAUGGAAGAUUAGAUAAAUCUACCUUUACAGAACACACAAAAAUACAUAUCUAAAAAUAAAAGAUCUACCUUUAAAUUAGUGGAAGAUGAGUACCAUCUAAUUAAAAACCUGCAAAAAAAAAUAGAUUAGUAACAAAGACAUGAGACAAAAUUGAAAAAUUCAUAUAAAGUUUGGUGUUUUCAAGUCAAAGAGAUUAGAGUGGGUUUGGAGAGUUUUAGUUUGGGAAAAAAGUAAGAACUUUAUACAACAAGAAGUUACCAAAUGAAGAAAAAUCAGACAUAAGAACUUACCAAAACGCUCAGAAAAAUCCAGACGACUUCCUAGAAGUCCAGACGACUUCCUGGAAGUCCAGACGACUUCCUGGAAGUCCAGACGACUUUGUCAGAAGACUUCCAAGAAGUCCAGACGACUUCCAGACGACUUCCAGACGACUAACAGGUAAGUCGUCCCAGAAGUCUUCCAGAUCUGAAAAACCUGCACAUCAAAUCCAGAUCUGAAAAACCUGCAUAUCCAAAAACGUUCAAAUGACUUAAAAAUAGAGAAAAUGAGUGGAAGAUUAGAUAAAUCUACAUUUAUAGAACACACAAAAAUACAUAUCUAAAAUUAAUAGAUCUACCUCUAAAUUAGUGGAAGAUGAGUACCAUUUGAUUAAAAACCUGCAAAAGAGAUAGAUUAGUAAGAAAUACAUGAGACAAAACUGAAAAAUUCAUAUAAAGUUUGGUGUUUUCAAGUCAAAGAAAUUAGAGAGAGGUUGGAGAGUUUUAGAAUGAUGAACAUUACAUUUUUGUUGCAGCCAUUUGAGAGGAGGAGAGAGAAUGUGUAAAUUUUUCUUUUUAUAGGGAGACAAAAAAUCCAAUUAGAUUAAAUAUUUUUGACUCAGACGACUUCCUGGACGACUUACAUUUCAGUCGUCUGGUGAAGAAAUUAAAACAGACGACUUACAUGUAAGUCGUCCAGAAGAGUUUAAUAUUUUUAGCGGGAAAUUAAAUAUUUUUAGCGGGAAACUAAAAUAGAAGACUUCCCAGACGACUUACAAGUAAGUCGUCUGGACGACUGAAAUAUACGUCGUCCGGGUAAAUUAUUCAACAGACGACUGAAAUAUAAGUCGUCCACACCCUAAACAUAACCCCUAAACUUAAUUAUCUAAUUAAACACUUCAUAAAACCAAAUCAAACUUGAAAAGUGUUUACUAUACACAAAAAUAAACACAUAUAGGUGAAAACUAAUUUUUGAAAAAAAUAUUUUAGUUUUCCAAAAUCUAACCCUAACAAUACAUACAAUACUACAACAUAUGUUUGCCAAACUCCUAAACCAAAGUAUUUCAUGAUUCACUACUUUCACUCAUCUAUCUUCAAAACAAAUCAAUUUUAUCAUAUCUUAAUUUAUAUUAGUUAAAACUGUUUAUAAUUACUUGAUUUUUAUUUUUUACGCAUCAAAAUAUUUUUUUACAAGAUUUAUAAAUUAUUUUUAAAAUAAACUGGUACCAGACGACUUACACUUCAGUCGUCCAGACGACUUCCAACAUCUCGGACGACUCAGACGAUUUAAUGGAGCUAUAUUCGUAAAAAUGGCUUCUGUUUUUUUGUUUGGUCACAAGGGGCUGAGCUGUAAUUUCACUAGGCUUUUAGGUUAGUUUUGCAUUUGAUUCAAGUUUGGGUAUAGGUUUGGGAUUAAAAUCAAGUUGUGGGUUAGUUUUGGCAAAAACCCCUUUAUUAAAUGACCUAAAAAGACAGUGCUCGCUCAUAAAAAAAUCGAGUUGAGCCAGCUCAUCAACUAUAACUCAUUUUGACACCUCUAUUUAUAUGGCCCAGAACAACGUUUUAAAAUUUAUCUAUUAUUACCUUAAUUAAUUAUGGGUCUUCUCACAAGUAUGCAACGAAUGAUAAACAACAAAGAACCGUCUUCCAUCAACAAGUACCUCAAGAUCUCACUUAGAAUAUACAUAUAUACAUGUUGUUGUAUCUAUACUAUACUAAAAGAAGAAUAAACUCCACAGCUAAGGUGUCCACAUCAGCAAAUUAAUUCGAGCCAAUCAGAUUCUAAAUAUAUGCCAUGUCAGCACGACCUUAAUCUUCCUUGCAAAUUUGUCGAUCAAAAUCCCAGAAACAGAUCAUUUGCUCACCCCGUUACAAUCUCUACAUCUCUUUUUCUCUCUUCUCCGAGCUUCUCCGUUGGGUGAACGACUACUGUUGAAUUGAUUUCUUCCUUUCGAUUCGAUUCUCUCUACCGAUUACUAAGGUUCUCUCUCUCUCCAUAGAUCAUCUCUCCUUUGUUUAUCCGCGAACGUAUCUCUCUAUUCUGAGCAGUUAGAUAGCCACCUUCUUUCUCUUCUCUUCUAAUUUAGUCUUUUGAUAGAUCUGAUUGAGAUUUUUUGAGGGUUUCAUCUUUCCAGCUUAUGGGUUUCGAUAAAGCCUCUUCCUUUACUUACGAUCACCCAUCUGCUAUUGGUUCAUCAAUGGCUGUUGAGAAAGGUUGGUCGUGACUGAAGCUUGACUCCGGAGAUGAAGAACUCGCCGUGAAAGCUUGGUCGCGGUAAAGCUCCGAGAUGGUGAGGUUGAAGACGACUCGACAGAGACGAAGCUUUCACUGAGAAGAGCACGGCUUGACGAAGCGGGUAAGAAACAUCGGGUUGGAGCGACGAAGCCUAACCGUUCGUUCCAGUUUCGAAUCAUCACAAGUGCUGGAGCGGGCAACGCACAGCGGGUUGAUGAAGUGGCCGUACCAUGAGCGUGCGCUGGAGCAGGUGGUGCUAGCGAGGAGAAGAAACCGCUCGGGACCUCAAACAAACUCGAAGCUGCACAGCAGCUUCUCAAAACAGGCUGAUGAAACCGCUGUGGUCAUUGCACUGCUCGGAGCAGCUUAGUGGAGCGAGGAGAAGAGGCCGCUCGCUUUGGUGAUCGUUGUGGAAUUUGCCAGGUUCAUUCUUAUCAAGGAUAAUGAGUAACAGGAGCAGCAGCAAUCGUUUUGAUUAUUUAAAGUUGCAAGCUUUUUUCUAGAUUUAGGACAAACUUUCAGUUAUGAGUGCAUCAUGGGCAGAUGUGGCUGACUCUGAGAAGGCUGCUUCCAGGGCAAAGCCUGCUUAUGUUCCCACACAUCUAAGGAACAUGCAGUCUGAGCCUGUUGCUACUUUGCCACAAAAUGAUCGUCCGGGGUAUGGUGGUCAACCGUCUAGAUGGGCUCCUGGAGGUGGAGUUGGUGGAGGCGGUGGCUACAGGAAUGAUGUAGGGAGGACGAGUAAGUGGUGGUGGUGGCUGGAACAACAGAGGUGGAGGAUGGGACCGUGAAGUUAAUCCGUUUGGAGAUGAUGCUGAUUUAGAACCUGCCGUUCAGGAGAAUACUGGCAUUAAUUUUGAUGCUUAUGAAGAUAUUCCCAUCGAGACCAGUUGAGGAUACGUGCCUCCUCCUGUUAACACUUUUGCUGACAUUGAUUUUGGGGAGGCGUUGAAUCUCAACAUCAGGAGGUGUAAGUACGUGAGGACAACACCUGUACAGCGUCACGCCAUUCCGAUACUUCUUGCAGAGAGGGAUUGAUGGCAUGUGCUUAGACAGGGUCUGUGAAGACUGCUGCCUUUUGCUUUCCGAUAAUUAGUGGAAUCAUGAGAGAUCAGCACCUUCAGAGACCUCGUGGUUCACGGACCGUUUACCCUCUUGCAAUUAUCCUCUCACCAACAAGGGAGCUGGCAUCUCAGGUAACAUAGAGAAUCUACUCAUUCUCUCACAUAAUAUAAUUUCUUCAGACAAGACACAUGUGUAUUUUUUAAAUAUACAAAAAUUUUGACGUUUUGCUUUUUUUUUUUUUAAGAUUCAUGAAGCGAAAACAUUCACAUGCCAAACUGGUGUGAAGGUCAUUGUUGCUUACGGAGGAACACCUAUUAACCAGCAGGUAAUUAUCAUGCACAUGUAAUUUUUCUUUCUUGGUUGUCCACCUUUGUCUUUGGAUAUUGUUUUAUGUUUUAUAGGGGUGUUGUCUAUUUUAAGUUAAUAGCAGCUUACGGCUUACUGGUUUGGGGUCUGCUAGCUCUAUUCUUCCUUAUAUCAGUCUCAUUUUUGAAAUUAUGUUUUGAUUUUGAAGUCAGCAGUGCAUGAUUAAUAUUGUAUCGUACAUAACAUCAUGUUUAACGUGAUCCUCAUCCUCUUCACUCCCAUUCAAAAAUUUAAAUAUUUAUUAAAUCAUUGUGUUAUUGGUCAUCAAAAUUUACAGAUUUAAGUAUUCAAAAUGAUUACACAUGCAGUGUGUGUGUAUGUAUAUGAAAUGAAGGUUAAAUAUGAUUACCAAAAUAUUAAUAGAAACUUUAACUAUGUUUACAUCUAAAAUAUACAUUAGUAUAUAAAUUAAUGAUAUUUUAAACACAAAAAUUAUUAUCUUUUAAAACAAUUCAUUUUAAUUUGUCAAAUACUAUAUCAACAAAUAAAUGGUAAUCAAUCUUUAUAUUUAAGUUUAGGGGUGGGCGUUCGGAUACCCAUUCGGGUUCGGUUCGGAUCUAAUUGGGUUUCGGGUUUUCGGGUUUAAAGAUUUCAGCCCCAUUCGGAUAUUUCUAAAUUUCGGUUCGGGUUCGGUUCGGAUCUUUGCGGGUUCGGUUCGGUUUCGGAUAACUUAUUUAAAUUAUUUUUAAAAUUUUAAUUUUCAUUAUAUGCUUAAACUUUCUCAAAAUCUAUAAAACAAAAUAAUAUAUUACAUAUAAAUUUUUAUGACAUAUGUCAAAAUACCUAAAAUUAACAUAUAAAUUGGUUUGAUUUGAAUAUUUGGAUAUAAAAUCAAUAGAUAUUUUAAGCAUUUUGGUGUUUUGAAUAUAUUUUAGCUAUUAUAGACAUUUACUUUUGACUAUUUAUGUAUAUUUCAAGUAUUUUAGACAACUUAAAAGUAUCUUACAUAUUUUGGAUUUUUAAUAUAUAUUAAAUCUAAAAAUAAGUAAUAUAUUUAGGUAUAUAAAUCUAUUUUGGUUACAUUCGGGUACCCGAGAUACUUUGGUUCGGGUCGGGUUCGGUUUCGGUUCUUUAGAUACCAAAAUUUUGAACCCGUUCGGAUAUUUAAUCAAUUUUGGUUCGAAUUUGGUACUACUUUUUCGGAUCGGGUUCGGUUCGGUUCUUCGGAUCCGAAUUUUUUGCCCAGCCCUAUUUAAGUUUAAAUUUAAAAUAUAUAUAAAUUUUAUAAACAACAAACCGCGCGUAGCGCGGUAAAACUUCUAGUAUUCAUAAAGUAAGAUCAAGGGGACUCGCCAAGACCGAAAUCUUUCUUUUUUUAGUAUCAUUUUGAACUUCUUUCCUAAUGUCUCGACCGAGUUUUGAUGAACUCGACGAAGCUAAUGAAAGAGACAAACCCUUGAUAUCUUCAUGAUCAUCAAGUUUUUUUUCUUC